This is a small nuclear RNA of Cavia aperea (Brazilian guinea pig), 106 nucleotides long. Lineage: Eukaryota; Metazoa; Chordata; Mammalia; Rodentia; Caviidae. The record is from Ensembl.
AUAUUCCAUUUAGAAGCAUAGAUAUAAAAUUGAAACUACACAGAGAAGGUUACCAUAGCCAGUGCACAACAAUGACAGGCAAAUUCAUCAAAUGUUCCAUAUUUUU